Molecule: ribosomal RNA, 1470 nt
Filed under: uncultured Bordetella sp.
Lineage: Bacteria; Pseudomonadati; Pseudomonadota; Betaproteobacteria; Burkholderiales; Alcaligenaceae
Description: partial 16S-23S ribosomal RNA intergenic spacer
Rfam family: Bacterial small subunit ribosomal RNA
Source: RNAcentral
AGCUCGAUCAUGCCUGGGAUUGAACGCUGGCGGAUGCUUUACACAUGCAAGUCGAACGGCAGCACGGACUUCGGUCUGGUGGCGAGUGGCGAACGGGUGAGAAUGUAUCGGAACGUGCCUAGUAGCGGGGAUAACUACGCGAAAGCGUAGCUAAUACCGCAUACGCCCUUCGGGGGAAAGCGGGGGGACCUUCGGGCCUGGCACUAUUAGAGCGGCCGAUAUCGGAUUAGCUAGUUGGUGGGGUAACGGCUCACUAAGGCGACGAUCCGUAGCUGGUUUGAGAGGACGACCAGCCACACGCUGGGACUGAGACACGGCCCAGACUCCCACGGAGGCAGCAGUGGGGAAUUUUGGACAAUGGGGGAAACCUGAUCCAGCCAUCCCGCGUGUGCGAUGAAGGCUCGGGUUGUAAAAGACCCUGGCAGGAAAGAAACGGCACGGGAUAAUACCCCGUGCAACUGACGGUACCUGCAGAAUAAGCACCGGCUAACUACGUGCCAGCAGCCGCGGUAAUACGUAGGGUGUAAGCGUUAAUCGGAAUUACUGGGCGUAAAAGCGUGCGCAGGCGGUUCGGAAAGAAAGAUGUGAAAUCCCAGAGCUUAACUUUGGAACUGCAUUUUUAACUACCGAGCUAGAGGUCAGAGGGAGGUGGAAUUCUGCGUGUAGCAGUGAAAUGCGUAGAUAUGCGGAGGAACACCGAUGGCGAAGGCAGCUCUGGGAUAACACUGACGCUCAUGCACGAAAGCGUGGGGAGCAAACAGGAUUAGAUACCCUGGUAGUCCACGCCCUAAACGAUGUCAACUAGCUGUUGGGGCCUUCGGGCCUUGUAGCGCAGCUAACGCGUGAAGUUGACCGCCUGGGAGUACGGUCGCAAGAUUAAAACUCAAAGGAAUUGACGGGGACCCGCACAGCGGUGGAUGAUGUGGAUUAAUCUGAUGCAACGCGAAAAACCUUACCUACCCUUGACAUGUCUGAAUCCCGAAGAGAUUUGGGAGUGCUCGCAAGAGAACCGAACACAGGUGCUGCAUGGCUGUCAGCUCGUGUCGUGAGAUGCCGGGUUAAGUCCCGCAACGAGCGCAACCCUUUGUCAUUAGUUGCUACGAAAGGGCACUCUAAUGAGACUGCCGGUGACAAACCGGAGGAAGGUGGGAUGACGUCAAGUCCUCAUGGCCCUUAUGGGUAGGGCUUCAUUAUCGUCAUACACAAUGGUCGGGACAGAGGGUCGCCAACCCGCGAGGGGGAGCCAAUCCCAGAAACCCGAUCGUAGUCCGGAUCGCAGCCGCUGACUGCGUGAAGUCGGAAUCGCUAGUAAUCGCGGAUCAGCAUGUCGCGGUGAAUACGUUCCCGGGUCUUGUACACACCGCCCGUCACACCAUGGGAGUGGGUUUUACCAGAAGUAGUUAGCCUAACCGUAAGGAGGGCGAUUACCACGGUAGGAUUCAUGACUGGGGUGAAGUCGCAACAAGGUAA